This 103-nucleotide microRNA precursor is filed under the name Marmota monax (woodchuck). The record is from RNAcentral. Lineage: Eukaryota; Metazoa; Chordata; Mammalia; Rodentia; Sciuridae.
AGUGGGAUAACUGGGUCAAAUGGUGGCUCCAUUCCAAGUUUUCUGAGGAAUCUCCAUACUGCUUUCCAGAGUGGUUGCACCAAUUUGCAGUCCCACCAGCAAU